AUGGAGCAGAGCUCGAUGCAGCGACGCAGGGGUCGUAGCGGCGCGAUGCAGAGGAAGGGAGGCAGCGGGACCUGGCACGAACGCCGGCGGAGGGGCUUGAGGAGCUCGGGCGCGGCUGGUCGGGAGGAGCAGGAGAAUGCCUCGGGUCGCCGAGGAGGUGAACGGCAGGGAGGCGCGACACUGGACGCCGACUGCAAGGAAGCCCGGGGCAGGGGAAGCAGCAACCAUGGGGACCGGGAGGAGCUCGGCUCUCCUCGGGCGUUGCAGGCUGCUGGUGGAGGAGACGCGCCGGCGUGGGAAGGCUUGGGGCUGUGCUGUUGCUGUGGGCUCGAGGAAGAAGCAGAGUAG
Molecule: ribosomal RNA, 348 nt
Filed under: Triticum aestivum (bread wheat)
Lineage: Eukaryota; Viridiplantae; Streptophyta; Magnoliopsida; Poales; Poaceae
Description: partial small subunit ribosomal RNA
Source: RNAcentral